This 634-nucleotide ribosomal RNA is filed under the name uncultured bacterium. RNAcentral's name for it is "bacterial SSU rRNA". It matches the Rfam family "Bacterial small subunit ribosomal RNA", at positions 223 to 853 of the family's 1533-position model. The record is from RNAcentral.
GGAUGGUCAUGCGUCGCAUUAGCUGGUUGGCGGGGUAACGGCCCACCAAGGCGACGAUGCGUAGGGGUUCUGAGAGGAAGGUCCCCCACACUGGUACUGAGACACGGUCCAAACUCCUACGGGAGGCAGCAGUGAGGAAUAUUGGUCAAUGGCCGGAAGGCUGAACCAGCCAAGUCGCGUGAGGGAAUAAGGCCCUACGGGUCGUAAACCUCUUUUGCCAGGGAGCAAUGCCGUCCACGUGUGGACGGAAGGAGAGUACCUGGAGAAAAAGCAUCGGCUAACUCCGUGCCAGCAGCCGCGGUAAUACGGAGGAUGCGAGCGUUAUCCGGAUUUAUUGGGUUUAAAGGGUGCGUAGGCGGCCUGCCAAGUCAGCGGUAAAAUUGCGGGGCUCAACCCCGUACAGCCGUUGAAACUGCCGGGCUCGAGUGGGCGAGAAGUAUGCGGAAUGCGUGGUGUAGCGGUGAAAUGCAUAGAUAUCACGCAGAACCCCGAUUGCGAAGGCAGCAUACCGGCGCCCGACUGACGCUGAGGCACGAAAGUGCGGGGAUCAAACAGGAUUAGAUACCCUGGUAGUCCGCACAGUAAACGAUGAAUGCUAGCUGUCCGGNGGGAUUGACCCCUGGGUGGCANAGCG